UACGUAGGGGGCGAGCGUUAUCCGGAAUUAUUGGGCGUAAAGAGCGCGCAGGUGGUUGAUUAAGUCUGAUGUGAAAGCCCACGGCUUAACCGUGGAGGGUCAUUGGAAACUGGUCGACUUGAGUGCAGAAGAGGGAAGUGGAAUUCCAUGUGUAGCGGUGAAAUGCGUAGAGAUAUGGAGGAACACCAGUGGCGAAGGCGGCUUCCUGGUCUGUAACUGACACUGAGGCGCGAAAGCGUGGGGAGCAAACAGG
Molecule: ribosomal RNA, 253 nt
Filed under: uncultured bacterium
Lineage: Bacteria
Description: partial 16S ribosomal RNA
Rfam family: Bacterial small subunit ribosomal RNA
Source: RNAcentral